RNAcentral lists this ribosomal RNA (780 nucleotides) under Neocallimastix frontalis. RNAcentral's name for it is "partial large subunit ribosomal RNA". It matches the Rfam family "Eukaryotic large subunit ribosomal RNA", at positions 38 to 667 of the family's 3401-position model. Lineage: Eukaryota; Fungi; Neocallimastigomycota; Neocallimastigomycetes; Neocallimastigales; Neocallimastigaceae. The record is from RNAcentral.
GCAUAUCAAUAAGCGGAGGAAAAGAAACUAACAAGGAUUCCCUUAGUAACGGCGAGUGAAGCGGGAAGAGCUCAAAUUUGAAAUCUUCAAGGUUCUACCUUGACGAAUUGUAGUUUAAAGAAGUGUUUUCUGUUAGAUGAGUAGCAAAAGUUCCUUGGAAUGGGACAUCAUAGAGGGUGAGAAUCCCGUAUUUGGUUAUUCAUUCUAGCUUUGUGAUACACUUUCAAAGAGUCGGAUUGUUUGGGAAUGCAGUCCAAAAUGGGUGGUAAAUUUCAUCUAAAGCUAAAUAUUGGCGAGAGACCGAUAGCGAACAAGUACCGUGAGGGAAAGAUGAAAAGAACUUUGAAAAGAGAGUUAAACAGUACGUGAAAUUGUCAAAAGGGAAGCGUUUGACACCAGUGUUGUUUUUCCGAAAAUCAAUUACGAAUGGCUUGAUUUUGUGUUGUAUUGACCUUAUCAGCUUUCUGCACUUUUUUCGAGUCUUUCUUAAUGCACUUUUCGGUUAACAAGUCAACAUCAAUUUCUUUUGUUGUAAAAGAGUGUUCGGAAGGUGGCUUUCUUUUCGGAGGAAGUGUUUAUAGCCCUAUACUUCUACAAUCGAAGAGAUUGAGGUCUGCAGCGUAGAUCCUUCGGGGUUAGAUACACUUGUGCUAAGUUGUAGCUUUUCAUAGACAACUUGUUGACUAUGUUUAGUCAUGCGGCUUACUCGCUUGUGCUAUUUUACCUACGCUUAGGAUGUUGACAAAAUGGUUUUAAACGACCCGUCUUGAAACACGGACC